CGCAUCUGUGCAUGCAGCAUAUCAAUAAGCGGAGGAAAAGAAACUAACAAGGAUUCCCUUAGUAACGGCGAGCGAAGCGGGAAGAGCUCAAAUUUGAAAUCUUCAAGGUUUUACCUUGACGAAUUGUAGUUUAAAGAAGUGUUUUCUGUUGAAGUUUUGGUAAAAGUUCUUUGGAAUAGGACAUCAUAGAGGGUGAGAAUCCCGUAUUUGACCAUUAUUUUCAGCUGUGUGAUACACUUUCAAAGAGUCGGAUUGUUUGGGAAUGCAGUCCAAAAUAGGGUGGUAAAUUUCAUCUAAAGCUAAAUAUUGGCGAGAGACCGAUAGCGAACAAGUACCGUGAGGGAAAGAUGAAAAGAACUUUGAAAAGAGAGUUAAACAGUACGUGAAAUUGUCAAAAGGGAAGCGUUUGACACCAGUGUUGUUUUCUCGAAAAUCAAUUAAAAAGAGUUUGAUUUUGUUGUGUAUUGACCUUAACAGCUUGCAUUUCAAUUUUCUUGCUUUUUUUAAUGCACUUUUCGUUUAACAAGUCAGCAUCAGUUUCUUUUGUUGUAAAAAGGUCAUUGGAAGGUGGCUUUCUUUUCGGAGAAAGUGUUUAUAGCCUUUGACUCCUGCAAUCGGAGAGACUGAGGUCUGCAGCGUAGAUCCUUCGGGGUUAGAUACAUUUGUGCUAAGUUACAGCUUUUUAUAGACAACUUGUUGACUAUGAUUAGUCUUGUAGCUUACUCGCUUAUGCUAUUUUACCUACGCUUAGGAUGUUGAACUCUAUCACACACAG
This 775-nucleotide ribosomal RNA is filed under the name uncultured Neocallimastigales. RNAcentral's name for it is "partial large subunit ribosomal RNA". It matches the Rfam family "Eukaryotic large subunit ribosomal RNA", at positions 26 to 621 of the family's 3401-position model. The record is from RNAcentral. Lineage: Eukaryota; Fungi; Neocallimastigomycota; Neocallimastigomycetes; Neocallimastigales.